This 239-nucleotide ribosomal RNA is filed under the name Synechococcus sp. KORDI-11. RNAcentral describes it as "partial 16S ribosomal RNA". It matches the Rfam family "Bacterial small subunit ribosomal RNA", at positions 1295 to 1533 of the family's 1533-position model. Lineage: Bacteria; Bacillati; Cyanobacteriota; Cyanophyceae; Synechococcales; Synechococcaceae. RNAcentral also lists the same sequence under 4 other names. The record is from RNAcentral.
AGAUCGUAGGCUGCAACUCGCCUACGUGAAGGAGGAAUCGCUAGUAAUCGCAGGUCAGCAUACUGCGGUGAAUACGUUCCCGGGCCUUGUACACACCGCCCGUCACACCAUGGAAGUUGGCCACGCCCGAAGCCGUUACUCCAACCCUCGGGAGGAGGACGUCGAAGGUGGGGCUGAUGACUGGGGUGAAGUCGUAACAAGGUAGCCGUACCGGAAGGUGCGGCUGGAUCACCUCCUAA